CAUAUAUGGAUAGAAGAGUAUUGCUGCAUGGCUAUUGGCUGCAGCCGAAGUUCGCGGUGCUGAUUGGCUGAGCAAUACUGUGAUAGAGUGAGACCAACAGCAGAUGUUCCAGAAAUCUCCCUGAGAUUGAUCAUUGAGCUUUAUCUCUUGAGCAAUUCUUGAGAUCACAGCAUUACGAGCACUAAAGACUCUCCACUGCACAAUAUCUGACCUUCUAUUCAGAGCACGACCUGCGUUUUUCACUGCAGCUGAACGCCUGGUUUUGGAUUUUCUACAAGCAGCAGUUCUUCUGUAUUGUUUUUCCCUCCCCUCCCCAACCCCCAUCCCUUCCCAAUCCUCCACCAAAAAAAAAAAAAAAAAAUUUCCUUCAUUUUAA
Long non-coding RNA from Cyprinus carpio (common carp), 376 nucleotides. RefSeq lists it as uncharacterized. Lineage: Eukaryota; Metazoa; Chordata; Actinopteri; Cypriniformes; Cyprinidae. The record is from RefSeq and is a predicted model, not a curated record. The transcript is spliced from 5 exons.